This is a long non-coding RNA of Dendrobium catenatum, 1538 nucleotides long. RefSeq lists it as uncharacterized. The record is from RefSeq and is a predicted model, not a curated record. NCBI's taxonomy places the organism in Eukaryota, Viridiplantae, Streptophyta, Magnoliopsida, Asparagales, Orchidaceae. The transcript is spliced from 2 exons.
CAAACCGAAGAAGCGCUUGAAAGGGAGCAAACUACCUUCACAACAGUGUGCUCCCACUGUUGCUUCUUCCGAUCAAAAUGGCGUAUGGUCCGAUCCGACAGGGAGGGAGAUGUCGGUUUGAGCCCCUACAGGCGACGGGAUAUAGGUGGUGGGAUUCGGCUUGUUGAGGUAGAGAUCCUUCUAUCUCUCUCGCUCUCUCACUCUCUCUCUCUCUCUCUCUCUCUCUCUCUUUCUCUGCUUGCGUGGGACGUCGGCGCCGGCAAGUGCUCGACGGGGCUGGGGAUUGAAGGGAGCAGAGGUGGAAUUCGGGCAGAGGAAACGAGAGGCUCGGUCAGCUUCAGUGAGGCGUCGGGUCGGAGAUCGGGAUUCAAGUGGAGGUCGUGGGUCUCGGUCGUGGAGGAAGAGCGAAACAGGGAGAGGGAGAGCCAGCGCCGAGUGACUUCGUUUGCUCGGUAUUUAAAGACUAGAAUGGGGCGACGAUCGAGAGCUGGAUUUCGGCAGGGAUUGCGGAGGACUUGACGAGGGCGGCGCUAUUCGCAGACUGCUACAGGAUUUCUGCGGGAUUUUUGGCAGAACCUCGGCGGGAUUUCAGCACAGUUUCAGUGCGAUGGAUCCUUCUGCAAAUAAGGGUACCUGAAGAGUCGCUUACAAGAAAUUGCAGGAGAUCUCGGGGAUGAAAGCUACAAAUAUGGUGGGGAAUGUAUCGAAUAAGCCUAUUUUUAGAGGAGGAUGUAUGUCCUUGUACUCGAUUGACAUGAUCACUAGCUCUCCGUUGAAAAAAAGGCAAGUUGAUGAUGGGGAGCUGAUUAUUGUCGAAGAUGAGUGAUCAUUUGGUCAUGUUGUGAAGACAAAGUAGGUGACAACUCCUAUUAUCUCUAUGGUGGGAUGCUUGACCAGAGGGUUUGGAGUUACAAAGGGUGAAGUUGAUUUCCCUUUUUUUAUGGGGCCACGGAAAGAUGGAAUAUGAGGUUCCUUGGUCAUCAUAUUGAAGGGUAGGUUAUUGUUGUUACUGAUAUGAGGGAGGAGAUCACCUCCAUGAAAGAGAAGGUGGUGGCCAUAUGGAUUUGUAUGUGCUCGAUGCAGGCUGAAUUGUGAGGCUUGCUUAGUCGGGCUAAGCAGGAGAGUUUUUACUAGAUUGUUCAAUGCAUUGUGGAGUACCUUGAUCGAAUGCACAUACUGGGCUAAGUAUGGAGAAUGAUCAUGUGCUAGAGCGUGUUUGAUGUGACAACCAUUUUGGAUUUCAUUUUCUUUUUUCAUGUUGUAUUUAUCCAAAAGCUUGGAUGUGUCGGACCAUGUAUGAAUAAAAUUCUAGAUUUAUGAGAAAUUUGACCAUUGCUUUAUGUCGAAUAGAAUGAUAAGGUGGUCAUGCCACCACUUUUGAGAGUGACUGAGGGAAUGGGUGUGUUGUGGCCAUUUAGAUCUUGUAAUGGUGAGAAGGAAGAGUGAGAUAUUCCACAUUAAUUUUGAUUUGAGGUCUCAUGUAAUCUUGUGCAUCAUGUUCUCAACUUAUAAAUGGAAGUGGUAGGAUGUUGAAAGUC